This is a long non-coding RNA of Mauremys reevesii (Reeves's turtle), 958 nucleotides long. RefSeq lists it as uncharacterized. NCBI's taxonomy places the organism in Eukaryota, Metazoa, Chordata, Testudines, Geoemydidae. The transcript is spliced from 8 exons. The record is from RefSeq and is a predicted model, not a curated record.
UCCAACAUGUAGAGUUUGUUUGGGAAGGUGGGUGGAACUUAUGGCUGCUACAGUAUGUGAUUUGCUACCGUAUAGUAUUGAAGUAGCUAUGUAUGAGCAUGUUCUCACUGCGGAGUUCUAUAAUCCUGUUUGUGUUUGCUCCUAAUCAGCAGAGUGUUAUUUGUACAUAUGCAAGUGAAGCAGUUUUAAGAAAGGAAUUUUAUUCAGUGCUGGACCAACAUAACUCCUCUUGUUCCUUUUGAAUCAGGGCACUGACAUCUGCUGUGAGGGUCAGCAAAAUAUAGUGACUCUAGAUCAUGAGGGUCAGACAAAACAAUAAAUGGUGCAGGUCUGCCUUAGAUCACUGCGAGAUUCUCUCAUCCUCCUGCUUUGCCAGACUAACAGUUGGAGCUACAAUUUUACAUGCCAAAUGUCUGCCUCAAGCUGAAGUUUUUGGGGAAGUUUCAGGAAAAAAAUGGUUCAGCUAUUUCUGAGAAAUAGAUCAGGGAAGAGAUUUAGAACUGACCUGUCCAGAGGGCCAAGUCACAAGAGGAAGCAGCCACCAUCCCAAAAGGGAGAGAACUGCCGUGCCACAGCCAGAUGUGAAGAGGCACAACAAGAAAGCAUUUGAGCUAACAGCAUGGAUAAAAAGUUAAGAGAAAAGAAAACAAAUUAAAACAAACAAGCAAACAACAGCAACAACAAAAACCCACACUUUCUGGACGGAAGCUGCAAAUAAAAACAAAACAAGACAACGACAGCAAGGAAACAUUAUCAACUUUUCAAUCAUUUAUAUUAGAAGUUUCAGUACAUUUUGGCAAGAAUGCUAGAUAUUGUCAACAAGGGUCAUGACUGCUGACAAGAGGGGGUGCUACUACCCCUGAAAUGGAUCUUUAUCGGCUCCUGGUGUCAUACCAGUGAAAAAAGACCACAGUAAUUAUUUUCAAUGCAAGCAGUUUAUUGAGAAGGAAUUUAAACA